This 253-nucleotide ribosomal RNA is filed under the name uncultured bacterium. RNAcentral describes it as "partial 16S ribosomal RNA". It matches the Rfam family "Bacterial small subunit ribosomal RNA", at positions 524 to 776 of the family's 1533-position model. The record is from RNAcentral.
UACGUAGGGGGCAAGCGUUGUCCGGAAUCAUUGGGCGUAAAGCGCGUGUAGGCGGUUCGGUAAGUCGGCUGUGAAAGUCCAGGGCUCAACCCUGGGAUGCCGGUCGAUACUGCCGGACUAGAGUUCGGAAGAGGCGAGUGGAAUUCCCGGUGUAGCGGUGAAAUGCGCAGAUAUCGGGAGGAACACCAGUGGCGAAGGCGACUACUUGGCCCAUUCUUGACGCUGAGGCGCGAAAGCUAGGGGAGCGAACGGG